Molecule: ribosomal RNA, 301 nt
Filed under: uncultured bacterium
Lineage: Bacteria
Description: partial 16S ribosomal RNA
Rfam family: Bacterial small subunit ribosomal RNA
Source: RNAcentral
CAGUCGCCACGGUAAUACAGAGGGUGCGAGCGUUAAUCGGAUUUACUGGGCGUAAAGCGUGCGUAGGCGGCUUCUUAAGUCGGAUGUGAAAUCCCUGAGCUUAACUUAGGAAUUGCAUUUGAUACUGGGAAGCUAGAGUAUGGGAGAGGAUGGUAGAAUUCCAGGUGUAGCGGUGAAAUGCGUAGAGAUCUGGAGGAAUACCGAUGGCGAAGGCAGCCAUCUGGCCUAAUACUGACGCUGAGGUACGAAAGCAUGGGGAGCAAACAGGAUUAGAUACCCCAGUAGUCCCUGUCUCUUAUAC